This 254-nucleotide ribosomal RNA is filed under the name uncultured bacterium. RNAcentral's name for it is "partial 16S ribosomal RNA". It matches the Rfam family "Bacterial small subunit ribosomal RNA", at positions 524 to 776 of the family's 1533-position model. The record is from RNAcentral.
CACGUAGGGGCCAAGCGUUGUCCGGAUUUAUUGGGCGUAAAGAGCUCGUAGGCGGUUCGACAAGUCGGGUGUGAAAACUCCGGGCUCAACCCGGAGACGCCACCCGAUACUGUCGUGACUGGAGUCCGGUAGGGGAGUGGGGAAUUCCUGGUGUAGCGGUGAAAUGCGCAGAUAUCAGGAGGAACACCGGUGGCGAAGGUGCCACUCUGGGCCGGUACUGACGCUGAGGAGCGAAAGCGUGGGUAGCAAACAGG